Molecule: long non-coding RNA, 428 nt
Filed under: Fragaria vesca (wild strawberry)
Lineage: Eukaryota; Viridiplantae; Streptophyta; Magnoliopsida; Rosales; Rosaceae
Description: long non-coding RNA (FVES_LNC001106)
Source: RNAcentral
UUAUAAACAAACGACAAUAAUGCGGGCUAGGCGGAGAUGUCGUGCGUUAGGCGGUGACAGGUGGCGUGGGCCUAUACGGGGUAGGGGUCCACCCUUUAAAAGGAAACAAAACAAAAAACUAAAACUGAAGCAGUUCGAGCUAGUGUUCUCUCACUCCGCCGUGCUCCACCGCCCCCCGACGCUCUACACCGGCGGAUCCGAUGGCUCCGCUUCCCGCCUCGGUAACCUCACCCUCCCUCUCUCAAUUUCAAGCUUGAGUUUGUAUGAAUGAAUUGAAUUUCUGUAGGAACUAUAUGAGAAGGCGGAAGAGAUGGUGAGGAACUUACGGUGGCAGAGAAGGCGGACGUCACGUGAGCAGGCACGUGGAGGAGGGUUUAGGCUUUGGGGGACUGACCACCGUGUACGAGCUGUUCUGAGUAUAAUUCGUC